CAGGAGGGGGAUACGCCCGGCGAAAGUCGGAUUAAUACCCCAUAAAACAGGGGUCCCGCAUGGGAAUAUUGUUAAAGAUUCAUCGCUGAUAGAUAGGCAUGCGUUCCAUUAGGCAGUUGGCGGGGUAACGGCCACCAAACCUACGAUGGAUAGGGGUUCUGAGAGGAAGGUCCCCCACAUUGGAACUGAGACACGGUCCAAACUCCUACGGGAGGCAGCAGUGAGGAAUAUUGGUCAAUGGACGAGAGUCUGAACCAGCCAAGUAGCGUGAAGGAUGACUGCCCUAUGGGUUGUAAACUUCUUUUAUACGGGAACUAAAGGUUAGCCACGUGUGGUUUUUUGUAUGUACCGUAUGAAUAAGGAUCGGCUAACUCCGUG
RNAcentral lists this ribosomal RNA (378 nucleotides) under uncultured bacterium. RNAcentral's name for it is "bacterial SSU rRNA". It matches the Rfam family "Bacterial small subunit ribosomal RNA", at positions 133 to 507 of the family's 1533-position model. The record is from RNAcentral.